Molecule: long non-coding RNA, 526 nt
Filed under: Capsicum annuum
Lineage: Eukaryota; Viridiplantae; Streptophyta; Magnoliopsida; Solanales; Solanaceae
Description: long non-coding RNA (CANN_LNC001443)
Source: RNAcentral
AAUAAGAUAAUUAUUCCUUAUUUAACUCAACUAAUUUGAGUAAAACAAGAAUAAUAAAUCUUGUUGUAUAUGUAUUUGUAUAGCAAUAAUUUACUUAAAUACAAAAUAUAAUUUACUAUUUUUCAUAAUUAUAAAAUUAUUGCUAUAAAAAUUACAUUUAAGAUUCUAUAAUUGCUAUUUCGGAAAUUUUCCCUUCCUUAUAAUCAAAAGAGAGAGAAGGCAGAAUUCUGCUAAAGAUGUGGGAAUAUGUCUAUAACUUAGUUGUAAUAGUAGAAUUAAAAAAGAGUGGGAAGUGGUCACAUUUCCGCCAAAAGCGUACCACGCAUUGAAAUAAGUCAUGCAAUACUGCUUCCUUAACAAACUUUAUUGUAACUUCAUUCACAUUAAUUACAGCCUUCGAAAAUUAAAUAAAUAAAUAAAUCAUACUAUCACUACACAUUAGGUAGGCCCCAUCUUUUAUUUUCAUGAAUGGUUGAAACUUGAAUGCUUUCUAACUGUUUGCUUUCAGCAUUAAACACUUGUGCCG